Molecule: long non-coding RNA, 996 nt
Filed under: Anser cygnoides (Swan goose)
Lineage: Eukaryota; Metazoa; Chordata; Aves; Anseriformes; Anatidae
Description: lncRNA (ENSACDG00005001323.1)
Source: RNAcentral
ACUAAUUAUCAUUAACUCCAUAAUUCCAAAUGUCUAGUUUUGAUUGUUUAAUAUACCAGAAAAAUCUCUAAUCAUGUGAUUAAUGUAUCACUAACUACAUUUUAUUAUUAGGUUAAAGCCUUAAUCUGAUUUGAAUUAUUAUCACAGCAUCUGGCAAUUUAUUUGUUCAUAUGAGUGCCUAAAUAUGCACUAUGUAAUAACCAUAGCAUAGUAGUAUUGUACAUUCAAGUAUCCCAAUAAGCAUUUCAGUAUAUUGCCUCAGGUUUGUUUUUGGAGUUGUCUGUUGGUUUUUUUUUUUUUAUUAUUAUUAUUAUUACUAGUUUGUUGGUGUUUAUGUGUUGAUUAUUUAUUUAUUUCUUAAAUUAUCAAGUAUUUUGGAAAUAUGUUCCCUUCAGUAUUUAUACCUGUAACCUUUUUUUCAGCUCUCACAGAGAUGAACAGAUUCCUAUGACUUCUUAUUUUCAUGUUAGGUAUGAAAUCAAAAUACACGUUGUUUAAAUAUGUGGGACCUGGAAUGGAAUUGUAACAUCACACUGGCUCUCCUGUUGGUUACUGUCAAGUUCAAGUGUCUCUUCUAUGAUGCAGUUUCAUCAAAGAACAGAAAAAAUAGCCAUGGAGACUUUCAGCGCUUCCUCCACUUCCCUUAAGAUUCAAAACCCAAGAUCAACCUGACUCUGUAGAUUAUAUCCUACAUUAAAAUGAUUUUAGAAUUUUAGAAUAUAUAAUGAUUUACUCUGCCACAGGUUUUAUAGUGAGUUUGCAAGGCCUCAGGCCUGAGGCUUGUUAGGCUUUCUCUGUCCGAGCUUUUCUUUACCUACCUGCAGGUUUGUUUUACUUGGUUUAGCUGUAACAGUAAUUCUUCUAACUGACCAGGUGGCUAUAGCUAACUUUGCCUUUGUUUCUCUAUGCAUGGUACCACCAGGGUUUUCCAGCUCUUCACAUACCAGCGUAGGGAGUGGAGCAGAAAAACAAAGGUCUUGUGCCAUUGCAGAGGCC